Molecule: long non-coding RNA, 723 nt
Organism: Caretta caretta (loggerhead turtle)
Lineage: Eukaryota; Metazoa; Chordata; Testudines; Cheloniidae
Source: RefSeq, a predicted model, not a curated record
GCAGGAACAACAAUCUCUUGUGGCCCAGCAUAGUGACUCUAGGAGGGAGCUAGCAUCCAUCAGGCAGAGUGGGUACUUGAACCGCUGGUCUCCUACACCCCGGAGGAGUACCCGAAUUACUGGGAUAAAGGUUAUAAGCCAGGUCCUCCCCCGCCGGAUGUUUUGUGUGGCGUGAGGGGGUCUCCGAAUAUGCCGACUGGAUCGAGCCCUGCAGGCGAGACAGAUGUUCUUCCACUCACCUUCCAGGGUCCGUGCGUCGCCUGGAGUGAGGCAGCAGUGCCAAUGCCCACAGGCAGAAGCGUCCACACCUCAGGAACGUUUGCAGUGGAAGUGUCGGCACUGAAUACCCAUCACACUGUUUCCACUGGCCCCGUCCAACCAGAAUCCACCCUCCCAGCCUGUCUAUACAGUCUAGAGCAACAACUUGCAGUAGCCCCUGUUGCAUUCUGGUCUUGGACUCAGAAGGAAGGGAAUCGGAGUUUACGAGAAGAGCCAAGUGCAGAGCUGGUUGCAGCCAUGCAUUCACUGGACAUGGAGAGAAGAAAGACUGGACCAGGUGGUGACAGAUGCCACAAGAGGCUGUUGAGUCCAAGACUUUAGUAAGGUUCAAGGAGGGUUUGGACAUUCCUAUGGAUAACAAGGCCACCCAGAGUUAUAAUAGUUAAGGCCGACAAAGAGUUCUGGAAGAAAUAAAAACAACCGGCUUCUGGUUUAAAACCAACA